GGCCCGCACAAGCGGUGGAGCAUGUGGUCUAAUUCGAUGAUACGCGAGGAACCUUACCAGGGCUUAAAUGCAGAGCGAAUAGUUUGGAAACAGGCUAGCCUUCGGGCGAUCUGCAAGGUGCUGCAUGGCUGUCGUCAGCUCGUGCCGUGAGGUGUUGGGUUAAGUCCCGCAACGAGCGCAACCCCCUAUCUUUAGUUGCCAGCGAGUAAUGUCGGGGACUCUAAAGAAACUGCCUACGCAAGUAGAGAGGAAGGCGGGGACGACGUCAAGUCAUCACGGCCCUUACGUCCUGGGCCACACACGUGCUACAAUGGUUGGUACAGAGGGCAGCUACCGGGUGACCGGAUGCGAAUCUCUAAAGCCAAUCUCAGUUCGGAUUGGAGUCUGCAACUCGACUCUAUGAAGCUGGAAUCGCUAGUAA
Molecule: ribosomal RNA, 421 nt
Filed under: uncultured bacterium
Lineage: Bacteria
Description: bacterial SSU rRNA
Rfam family: Bacterial small subunit ribosomal RNA
Source: RNAcentral